UACAGAGGUGGCAAGCGUUGUUCGGAAUUACUGGGCGUAAAGGGCGCGUAGGCGGCUUGGUCAGUCCCGUGUGAAAUCCCUCGGCUCAACUGAGGAACUGCACGGGAAACUGCCUGGCUUGAGUUUGGGAGAGGGAAGCGGAAUUCCGGGUGUAGCGGUGAAAUGCGUAGAUAUCCGGAGGAACACCGGUGGCGAAGGCGAGUUCCUGGACAGUUACUGACGCUGAGGCACGAAGGCCAGGGGAGCAAACGGG
Molecule: ribosomal RNA, 253 nt
Filed under: uncultured bacterium
Lineage: Bacteria
Description: partial 16S ribosomal RNA
Rfam family: Bacterial small subunit ribosomal RNA
Source: RNAcentral